This is a long non-coding RNA of Bradysia coprophila, 735 nucleotides long. Lineage: Eukaryota; Metazoa; Arthropoda; Insecta; Diptera; Sciaridae. The record is from RefSeq and is a predicted model, not a curated record.
CGUUGACAAUGGAAGAUCAGAAAUUAAUCAAGAAUAGAUUGGUAUAACCGAGACAAAAAUUUGAUGAAUAUGAUACGUUACUACCCUUCAAAUAAGUGGUUUGUAAUACUUCUUGCAUUACUCGUGAGCGGUGCAAAUGUGCUCUGUGGUGAAGUGUCUCAACUUGUAUUGGAAGAAAGUGAAAUUGACGGCAGUUUGUCAGAGAAUAUUGUUUUGUAUGGAAUAAUUUCCGAAUUGGCUGAACGAAAUUCAAAUGUAAGCACAACAUGUGCAGCUGAUCUAACAAAUAUCCUUAGAAGUAUCAACAAGGAGGAUAUGUGGGCUGUUAAGGUAAUGGAUGCAUCUGGAACGUAUAGAGGAUCUUUCGUUUGGGGACAGAAUGCAUGGAUUGGUUCAAAACAGAGCUGUGAUUUCCUGAAUGAAGUCCCAAAAUUCACAAUAUCACCGGACGUUCCCAAACUAAUGGACAAACAUCUGAUAUCCACAAUAUCACCAAUGGAAAUGGAUUUCAAAAUGAUUUUUCUCAUUAUAGUCAGCCCAUACAAAGUUGAUCCAAUAAUUAAUCUAAGAACAGCAAACACUCACCGAUUGGGUUUAUGUCUACCAAAAUCCUGUUCCAAUCAAGACGUUGAACGUUUGUCGAAAAGUUUUUUUUCUCGGCCAAAACUUAAAUUUCAAAAAGUUUAUAACGCAACAAUCGAUGUUAUCAACGUGAGAAACAUGGACAUCCACAAC